This 73-nucleotide transfer RNA is filed under the name Sus scrofa (pig). It matches the Rfam family "tRNA". From Rfam's summary of the family: Transfer RNA (tRNA) molecules are approximately 80 nucleotides in length. Their secondary structure includes four short double-helical elements and three loops (D, anti-codon, and T loops). Lineage: Eukaryota; Metazoa; Chordata; Mammalia; Artiodactyla; Suidae. The record is from Rfam by way of RNAcentral.
UCCCUGAUGGUCUAGUGGUUAGGAUUUGGUACUUUCACUGCUGCGGCCUGGGUUCAAUCCCCUGGUCUGGGAA